Molecule: non-coding RNA, 71 nt
Organism: Caerostris extrusa
Lineage: Eukaryota; Metazoa; Arthropoda; Arachnida; Araneae; Araneidae
Source: the annotation of a GenBank genome assembly
GGCUCGGUGGUCUAGGGGUAUGAUUUUCUCUUUGGGUGCGAGGUCCCGGGUUCAAACUCCCGGCCGGGCCG